RNAcentral lists this ribosomal RNA (98 nucleotides) under Salvator merianae (Argentine black and white tegu). The record is from RNAcentral. Lineage: Eukaryota; Metazoa; Chordata; Lepidosauria; Squamata; Teiidae.
CCUGCCAGCCUUAUCUGUUUGUCUUGGGAGCUAAGCAGGAUCAGACCUGGUUUAGUACUUGGUUGGGAGACCUCCUGAGAAUAUCAUGGGGUGCAAGU